GGGGUUGUGGCUCAGUGGUAGAGCACUUGCCUAAUAUGCAUGAGGCCCUGGGUUCGAUCCUCAGCACCA
Molecule: non-coding RNA, 69 nt
Organism: Ictidomys tridecemlineatus (thirteen-lined ground squirrel)
Lineage: Eukaryota; Metazoa; Chordata; Mammalia; Rodentia; Sciuridae
Source: Rfam